AGAGGAAGUUUUAGAUGGAAUCUAUUAUGACUGAGCGGCGGACGGGUGAGUAACGCGUGGGGAACCUGCCCUAUACAGGGGGAUAACAGUUAGAAAUGACUGCUAAUACCGCAUAAGCGCACGGAGCCGCAUGGCGCUGAGUGAAAAACGAUAGUGGUAUAGGAGGGACCCGCGUCUGAUUAGGUAGUUGGUGGGGUAACGGCCCACCAAGCCGACGAUCAGUAGCCGACCUGAGAGGGUGACCGGCCACAUUGGGACUGAGACACGGCCCAAACUCCUACGGGAGGCAGCAGUGGGGAAUAUUGCACAAUGGGGGAAACCCUGAUGCAGCGACGCCGCGUGAGUGAAGAAGUAUUUCGGUAUGUAAAGCUCUAUCAGCAGGGAAGAAGAAGGACGGUACCUGAGUAAGAAGCCCCGGCUAACUACGUGCCAGCAGCCGCGGUAAUACGUAGGGGGCAAGCGUUAUCCGGAUUUACUGGGUGUAAAGGGAGCGUAGACGGCGAAGAAAGUCUGAAGUGAAAGCCCGCGGCUCAACCGCGGAAUGGCUUUGGAAACUUUUUUGCUGGAGUACCGGAGAGGUAAGCGGAAUUCCUAGUGUAGCGGUGAAAUGCGUAGAUAUUAGGAGGAACACCAGUGGCGAAGGCGGCUUACUGGACGGUAACUGACGUUGAGGCUCGAAAGCGUGGGGAGCAAACAGGAUUAGAUACCCUGGUAGUCCACGCGGUAAACGAUGAAUGCUAGGUGUUGGUGGACAAAGUCCAUCGGUGCCGUCGCAAACGCAGUAAGCAUUCCACCUGGG
This 799-nucleotide ribosomal RNA is filed under the name uncultured bacterium. RNAcentral describes it as "bacterial SSU rRNA". It matches the Rfam family "Bacterial small subunit ribosomal RNA", at positions 68 to 877 of the family's 1533-position model. The record is from RNAcentral.